AUGAAAGGAGAUGUAGGGCAGGGGACUAGACCGUCGUCCAGCAACCCAAUUCCGGACCAUACUAGCGUUGAUGGGAGGACGGAGGAGGGGGCGGAUCACCACCAGGAAGACGAUGAGGAGUGGGAUAAUCUGGGCCACGAUUCAGCCUUGUAAGAUGCGUUUGAAGGAUUGAAACUGCACGGGGAGGAGGAGGAAGAUUUAGAUCUGUCGGGAGAAGUGGAGGAGUUGAUCAAGGAGGUGCGAUGGCUAUGCCUUUUUAGGGUUCACACAAUGAGGCCGUUUAGCCACGCUGCGGUGCUAAAUUCUCUGAGGAAUGCGUGGUCGUGUGCGCAAGGAGUUACUUUCAAUAUCAAGGGGCCUAAUCUCUUCCUAGCUCAGUGCCAUUGUUUGGGGGAUUGGAAGCGGGUGAUGGAAGGAGGGCCUUGGCAAUUUAGGAGGGAUCCGGUCGUCAUUGUUGAGUAUGAUGGGUUUACGAACGUUGCUGAAUUUGCCCUGGAUAUGUAUCCACUAUGGGCUAGAAUUAAAGGUCUCCCGGAUGGGCUAACGAGGAAGGAGCUGGCUGAAAAAGUUGCCAAAAAAGUGGGUAUGCCGCCCUUUACUGUUGCUAUUAAUGAAGGAAGAAUUAACCCAUCGAGCUUUCUGAGGGUUAGGGUUUUUGUUGAUGUCCAUAAACCCUUGGUGCGUUUUGUCCCCAUCACUUUGAAAGAAUUCAAGCGAUACCCGGUGAGCUACGAGAAACUACCAAACUUUUGCUUUUUUUGUGGCUGCAUGGGCCAUGUGGUUGAGGAAUGUGGUGAUGGAGUUCAUGAUCCUUCGGAGUGUGAUUGGGGGGAUUGGUUGCACUGGAGUAAUGAACAACCUUUGGGGAGUGCAAGUAGUGGUAGAGGAGGAGGGGGUAUAGCGGGAGGCAGGGGUCGGAGUGGAGCUAGAGGUGGUUUUAGGGGAGGGGUGGAGGUAGAGGAGGAGCAGGAAACAGAGGGAGAUUUGCAAUGCAUACGGAGGCCUCUGAGGGUGGUGCCGUUUCCACCGACCCAACUAACGAAGGUGUGA
Molecule: ribosomal RNA, 1050 nt
Filed under: Triticum aestivum (bread wheat)
Lineage: Eukaryota; Viridiplantae; Streptophyta; Magnoliopsida; Poales; Poaceae
Description: partial small subunit ribosomal RNA
Source: RNAcentral